Molecule: non-coding RNA, 2048 nt
Organism: Phalacrocorax carbo (great cormorant)
Lineage: Eukaryota; Metazoa; Chordata; Aves; Suliformes; Phalacrocoracidae
Source: RefSeq, a predicted model, not a curated record
GCACAGCUCUGGCAGGGUUUCCUACAUUGGAGACGUUCUUCUCUGAAGACUUUAUUUCCCUUGGAAGGAGAAAUUCCUCCACCUGCAAGAAAACGCACUGCCCUUCGUCGAAUUUAAAAGAAGUCUGCCUGCAGGAAGAAGGACAAAACCUGUGAAGCUGAUAAACUGAAAUAGAAGCAGGAAAGAGCAAGAUAAAAGCUAGCAGUGGUCCUGCAGCAGGUGCCGAGGCCAAGUUCAUUGUGGUUCAGCCGUGUUACACGGAAGGUGGAUCUGGCUGCUUCUGUUGGAAGAGAAACAGGUCCCCCACGAGGGAUGCUUCUGAGCCGUAUCGCGUUUUGAAAUCUGAUCAUCAGCCUACGGAAUGCCACAAGAGGUUUGUUUUGUGCUGCUGAAGUUCAGCCCAACACGCUAAGUGACUCAGCUCGGGAAGAAUAGUUGGCAAUGGGACUGCAGUUUGUACUGGCUUCUGCCAUCUUUAGCGGGAGGCCUACCAAAGGCUGAGUUGUUCUUUCUUUGUUCAGCACCCAUAGGGAAAGAAUCUGUUUCCUCUCUUUGUAGAACUGAACAACUCUUAGGAAUGUUGAACCUUAAACUUUAUUUAAUGGAGAGGAAGGGCUUCCAGAUUUGGAUCAUUUGCCUUGGAAGCAUGCGGGCUUAAGCUGAUACUGCAAACCUUUGUGAGAAAAUGCAGCGCUUACAAUAUCUGCAUCGCAUGAUGUAAUGUGUUGAUCGAUCUCUAAUGGGGAAACAGCAUAAAAAAACUAUCAGAGGAAAUAACCAUUGCUUUAUGCUUUAAGAGCGAAGAUACUGCCCUCUCGAUAUCAAAGUCUAGGACGAGAGAACUUUAGUUCUAAAAGGCCUGAAUGCAUUCAGACCUUGCACAGCAAGCCCGGACCAAGCAGGGUGACACACACUAUUUUCAAGGUAAAAUGUGCACGAUACAAUAUUUGCUACUUGGGGUUUUAACAGCUCGAAAAACAUUCUUGGAGGGUAACAAGACUUUCUGGAAGCGAGCCACUUUCGGAUGCUAUUGCCAGCACGUCUGCCUACUCUGGGUAGCAUCAGAAACUGUGCUGAAAAAUUAAACAAACAUAGUCUUGGCAUCUAAACAGAUGGGAAAGGACAUGUUGACUCCCAAGUCUUUAGCUGAGGAGGUAGUCUGUUCCUCAUUGUUACCACUGUGCAGCGCGGAAUUGCAAAACACCCACAUAGAUUUUCAGACCUGCUAGCUGCACUUAACCUUUAAUCCUGCAAGUACUCAGCCAUGAGCAUAUAAUUUUAAACGUCUGAGUAGUCUGACUGACUCCGAUGGGAAUACUCACUGAAUGAAGUUAAACAUUUGCAUAAAUGUUUGCAGGAUCAGGAUCUUUCACUACAAACACAAUUCUUGCACUACAAACACAAACUCCGCUUGGGCUGAGCUCAAGUUCUCAAGGCAUUAAGAAACCUAUAUCCUCUACAGAUGUGUUUUAGAUUUCAUGUUAAUUUGUGAUUUCUAUGUCAUAAAACAUCUUCCAUUAGGCUAAUGAGUAACCUUUCUCAUGAGAGAGGAGGAAUGAUACGCUUUCUGACAUGACUGCAUAGGUUUGAAAGAAUGGAACCUGAACUGGAUCAGCAACUUACGAGCUUCAGUGUGUCGAAGAGGUUCAGGCAUCCUGAUGGGAUUUUUGGCCUUUUAAAGUUUUUAAAACCUGUUUUCUGUGGUUUAGACCUGAUCUGAAAAUCCUCCUUCCUGCCCUUGCAAGGACAAGGCUGCUUCCAUGAGCAAGGGAUUGACUCACUUAUCCCUGGAGUUUUGCUUUGCUGACUAAACACGUUGGGACUUUUGAGGCAAAGAGGGGGAAGCAUGUCACGCACAGCCCCUUCUUCCUCAGCAGAUCUGCCCGGUGAAGGAAUCCCCCCGCAGCUGGGAAGCUGCUCCUCCGUCUCGCUUCUAGCUGACGGUUGAGCUUAAGUGGCAGGACUUUAUCUGCACGUUCACCAUCUUGGGCUGCCGAGAUUGCUCUGCAUUUUAUAGAAAAUCUUGCUAAUUAAAAUAUAGCCUUUGG